RNAcentral lists this ribosomal RNA (254 nucleotides) under uncultured bacterium. RNAcentral describes it as "partial 16S ribosomal RNA". It matches the Rfam family "Bacterial small subunit ribosomal RNA", at positions 524 to 776 of the family's 1533-position model. The record is from RNAcentral.
UACGUAGGUGGCAAGCGUUGUCCGGAUUUACUGGGCGUAAAGAGCGCGCAGGCGGUCGUUCAAGUCGCGUGUGAAAGCCCGAGGCUCAACCUCGGAACUGCCUUCGAUACUGCGGGUCUCGAGUCCGGGGAGAGGUGAGUGGAAUUCCUAGUGUAGAGGUGAAAUUCGUAGAUAUUAGGAAGAACACCAGUGGCGAAGGCGGCUCACUGGCCCGGUACUGACGCUGAGGCGCGAAAGCGUGGGGAGCAAACAGG